UGGGAACGUACCCUUUGGUUCGGAACAACCCAGGGAAACUUGGGCUAAUACCGGAUAAGUCCGUAAGGAGAAAGAUUUAUCGCCAAAGGAUCGGCCCGCGUCUGAUUAGCUAGUUGGUAGGGUAAUGGCCUACCAAGGCUACGAUCCGUAGCUGGUCUGAGAGGACGAUCAGCCACACUGGGACUGAGACACGGCCCAGACUCCUACGGGAGGCAG
RNAcentral lists this ribosomal RNA (216 nucleotides) under uncultured bacterium. RNAcentral's name for it is "partial 16S ribosomal RNA". It matches the Rfam family "Bacterial small subunit ribosomal RNA", at positions 118 to 351 of the family's 1533-position model. The record is from RNAcentral.